This 254-nucleotide ribosomal RNA is filed under the name uncultured bacterium. RNAcentral's name for it is "partial 16S ribosomal RNA". It matches the Rfam family "Bacterial small subunit ribosomal RNA", at positions 524 to 777 of the family's 1533-position model. The record is from RNAcentral.
UACGAAGGGGGCUAGCGUUGUUCGGAAUCACUGGGCGUAAAGCGCACGUAGGCGGAUCUUUAAGUCAGGGGUGAAAUCCCGAGGCUCAACCUCGGAACUGCCUUUGAUACUGGGGAUCUCGAGACCGGGAGAGGUGAGUGGAACUGCGAGUGUAGAGGUGAAAUUCGUAGAUAUUCGCAAGAACACCAGUGGCGAAGGCGGCUCACUGGCCCGAUACUGACGCUGAGGCACGAAAGCGUGGGGAGCAAACAGGG